UCUCCACGUAGUAGUAGGCAUCGACGGUGGCAUCUAGCUCCUGGGCUCCGACAUCUGGUUGCAUCAACCGGAAAGAAGAAGAAAGGAGAAAAGGGAGAGCAAAGCAACCGUGAGUACUCAUCCAAAGUACUCGCAAGCAAGGAUCUACACUACAUAUGCAACAUUAUCAAAGGAAGGAUGUAUAUGUGGACUGGGCUGCAGAAAUGCCAGAAUAGAGAGAAGGCCUAGUCCUAUCGAAGACUAGCAUCUUCGGGAAACCACCAUCUUGCAGCAACAGGAGGGAGUAGAGUAGCAUAAAGUAAAGUAGUAGUAGUGUUAUCAACCUCGGCCGGAGAUCCUUUCUCGACUCCCUGCGAGAAAGAAAUCCCAGAGCCAUACUAUCCAGUUAUCAUCACAAUCCAUUUCUCAUCCAUCCAUUUCUCAUCACAAGUAUCCAGUUCUAGUUGUAUCGAUCGGGAUACAACUCCAAGUGUCCGUUACCGUAGGACAGACUAUCGAUAGAUGUUUUCUUCCCUGCAGGGGUGCACCAACUUACCCACCACGCUUGAUUAACUCCGGCCGGACACACUUUCCUGGGUCAUGCCCGGCCUCGGCCAAACAAUACGCCGCAACCCGACCUAGGCUUAAUAGAGAGGUCAGCACGCCGGACUAAACCUAUGCCCCCAGGGGUCAUGGGCCAUCUCCCCGGGAACUCCUGCACGUUGCGUGGGCGGCCGGUGAGCAGACCUAGCUACCUCCUUAAAAAAGUUAGGAGCUUACCAGUCCAACCCGGCGUGCGCCGCUCAGUCGCUGACGUCUAAUAAGCUUCGGCUGAUGCAUACGACGCAGAACGCCCAUACUAUGCCCACGUGAUGGUUAGUGCUAUCAGGCCAGAGGCCCCUCGGAUCAAAUAUCCAAAUCGUAGUGGAUUAGGAACGCGCGGUAAAAAGCAGAGACUCACGAAAGAUGUGACCCCGUUGCCCCGUCUCGAGGACUUGCGGCAAGGGCUAGGAAUGCCCGGCCACGCCUCGUAAUUAUCUCGCGGGCACCCUCCAGGUCAACUCGUCUCCACAUCACUCGCGGGUAUCCCUCAGGGUCGACCCGCCCUUCCAAGUAACAGUUGUAAAGUCCAAGUAUCCGUGUGUCCAAACAUCAAGGGGAAAACCCAAGGAAUCACCCUCGGUGAAUUCCACUCGAUGUAAUCAUCAAGGUGAGCGUAAGAGGAAUCACCCCCGAGGUUCACACUUGAGGGGUUGCACGACAGAGUCGUAUCAGAAGUGGUUAAAGAGGAAAUCACCCUCGAUGACCACGACCGAAUAGCUACACUACAGGGUUAACAUCAGAAAUGUUGUAGAGGUCUCACCCUCGGCACUCGAUAGUAUCCCAAUAGUGUCGAGCAACUAAGGGGAAAGUGAUGUGCGGUGCCGGGGCCUGGUCUUCGAUCCCGUUGAUCGGGUCUUCGAUGAUGAAGCAGGGGCAACAAGGACAAGGUGGGGGUCACUGAUGAAUCACUAACCAACCUAUACUAAGCAGUUUAGGAUAAGCAGGUAAGGUACAACAGCAGAUUACAAAAGCAGGCUAUGCAUCAGAAUAGGAGCAAACAAUAACAAAAGCAAAAUCUAAUGCAAGCAUGAGAGAAUGGAAUGGGCGAUAUCGGGAUGAUCAAGGGGGGGUGCUUGCCUGGUUGCUCUGGCAAGGAGGGGUCGUCGUCGACGUAGUCGAUCACAGGGGCAGCAUCGGUCUCGGGGUCUAUCGGAGAGAAGAGGGGGAAGAAACAGUAAAUAUAAAGCAAACAUAGCAUCACAAAGCAUAACGUGGGAAUAUGUUGUGUCGGGUGUGACUUAACGUAUGACUACACGAUAUAGAUGAAGGGGCGAAACAACCGGGAAUGUUUUCCCGGUUCCGGACCUGUGUCAAACAGAUGACCGGAGGGGGAAAGUUCCAUGUUCAGAUAGUUAGAGGCAUCUGACAUGUAUGUGGGUAGCGUAUUCGAGUUCGUCUCGUCGUUCUGGGCAACUUUCAUGUAUAAAGUUUUUCGAUCCGAGCUAUGGUUUAUUUUCUAUUAAUUUUCAAAGAUUUAAACAAUUUCUGAAAUUAUUAUUAAUUCGGAAAAAAAACUGGAAUUUGCCAUGGGUACACAGAGUGUAAUCCAGCCAGGGUGUAUGACAAGUGGGGCCAGUCAAAGUCAACAUAGUUGAUGUUGACUUGGUCAGAAGUGAACAGUGCAGAUGGGUCCCAUAUGUCAUUGACUUAGACAUUUUUUUUAUAAAACUGAUUUUAUUUAAACUAACUGUAGAUCCACGUAUCACCGGCUAUUAGACUAACUUAGCACUAACUUUAAUCCUAAACUAAACUAGUCCUAAUUAACACAAGGGCCGGCCACACACUGCCGGGGGCCGUGGCCAAGCUGGCCACACACACAAGCACGCAACACACAAUGCUAGGAGUCAAUUCUGUUGUUUUGUUAACAAAAGAUAUCAUUUUCUGAAUUUUGUAGGAUUUAAACCAUGCAUCGAAAGAAUUUGGUCCAGUGGGAUAAAAUAAAGUUUGUCAAGUAUACAUUCUACUCAUAUUAUUUUUGGGCCUGUUAGUAGUUGUUUAACCACUGAUCAGAGGCUGUCAAGGGGGGUUAGUCAGUGUAAAAAGUGAAAAGCUAGCUAGUAGCCGCUACAGUAACUAGCAUCAGCAGUACAGCAAGCAGCGCUCGGCCGUAGCAACCAGUAGCGCAGCCGCAGCAAUGGGCAGGCGAGGGGGAGCAGCACCGGGCGCGGCAGUGCGGGCACGCGGUGUGCGAGCGCGGGGCGGCUGCGGCGCAGGCAGUGGCUCCGCGGGGGCGACGGCAAGCGGCAGUGGCAGCAUCAGGCGACAGCAGCAGUAUGCAGAGCAACAGCGGCAGUACAAGCAAGCGGCGGAGGCGCAAGCAGUAGUGGCAAGCGGCAACAGCAGCAUGGCGCGGUCGUAGCGGCAGGGCCGGGCCGCGGACAAACCUGGGCAGGCGCGUGAGGGCAUGGGCAGGGUGCGCUCGAACGGCCGGACGACGCCGCAUCGAAUGGCGGUGGUGCGAGAUGUUGCGGUGGCUGGAACUGAGCACUACGGGGCUCGACAAAGCGCGAGGGAGGGGUGCAACGGGCCCGCACGGACGUGCUGAGCACGAUCCCGAGCUCAUCUGAGCUCAACGGGGAGCAACGGCAUGGCUUCGAGCACGCCGGCGGAAGCAGAGGCACGGCAACGGCGGCGAACUAGCUAGGGACGAAUGCAGCCACGGGAAGAAGGAAUGGGGGGAGAGAGGAGCUCACCGAGCGGCCAAGAAAGGCCCUCGACAGCUUUGUAGCAGCAGGGGAUGACGAAGACGACGGCGGUCACCGGCGACGCAGAAGAUGGAGACGAGCUCGAUCCGCUCGAUGCCGAGCCCGUCGUCUCCAGUGGCUCGGCUCAGGCGAUGCAGCGGAGGGCGACGAAGCUCCGUGACAUCUCGCCGGGGCUCGGGGUCGUCGGAGAGCGCGGGAUCGACGGCGGUGAGCGGCGGAGGCAAUCGGGAGUGGGCGGAUCUAGCGAGGGGAAAAGGGGGAAUGCAGUGAGGGCGCUAAGGUUCGUCAAGGGGGGGUUCGGGGAGGACUUGUAGGUCGAGUAGGACGCCGGGAGGGGUCGGAUGGCCGCCACGCAGGUGGCCACGGCCGG
Molecule: long non-coding RNA, 3657 nt
Filed under: Triticum aestivum (bread wheat)
Lineage: Eukaryota; Viridiplantae; Streptophyta; Magnoliopsida; Poales; Poaceae
Description: long non-coding RNA (TAES_LNC016443)
Source: RNAcentral